RNAcentral lists this ribosomal RNA (332 nucleotides) under uncultured bacterium. RNAcentral describes it as "bacterial SSU rRNA". It matches the Rfam family "Bacterial small subunit ribosomal RNA", at positions 100 to 433 of the family's 1533-position model. The record is from RNAcentral.
GACGGGUGAGUAACGCGUGAGGAACCUGCCUUGAAGAGGGGGACAACAGUUGGAAACGACUGCUAAUACCGCAUGAUGCAUAGGGGUCGCAUGAUCUUUAUGCCAAAGAUUUAUCGCUUCAAGAUGGCCUCGCGUCUGAUUAGCUGGUUGGCGGGGUAACGGCCCACCAAGGCGACGAUCAGUAGCCGGACUGAGAGGUUGAACGGCCACAUUGGGACUGAGAUACGGCCCAGACUCCUACGGGAGGCAGCAUUGGGGAAUAUUGGGCAAUGGGCGCAAGCCUGACCCAGCAACGCCGCGUGAAGGAAGAAGGCUUUCGGGUUGUAAACUUC